This 746-nucleotide ribosomal RNA is filed under the name uncultured bacterium. Its description in RNAcentral is "bacterial SSU rRNA". It matches the Rfam family "Bacterial small subunit ribosomal RNA", at positions 8 to 796 of the family's 1533-position model. The record is from RNAcentral.
AGAGUUUGAUCCUGGCUCAGGAUGAACGCUGGCGGUCUGCUUAACACAUGCAAGUCGAACGCACCUUUCGGGGUGAGUGGCGGACGGGUGAGUAACGCGUGAGAAUCUGCCUAGAGGUCGGGGACAACCAUUGGAAACGAUGGCUAAUACCGGAUAUGCCUUACGGGGUGAAAGAUUAAUCGCCUUUAGAAGAGCUCGCGUCUGAUUAGCUAGUUGGUAGGGUAAAAGCCUACCAAGGCAUCGAUCAGUAGCUGGUCUGAGAGGAUGACCAGCCACACUGGGACUGAGACACGGCCCAGACUCCUACGGGAGGCAGCAGUGGGGAAUUUUCCGCAAUGGGCGAAAGCCUGACGGAGCAAGACCGCGUGAGGGAGGAAGGCUCUUGGGUUGUAAACCUCUUUUGUCAGGGAAGAACACAAUGACGGUACCUGACGAAUCAGCAUCGGCUAACUCCGUGCCAGCAGCCGCGGUAAUACGGAGGAUGCAAGCGUUAUCCGGAAUUAUUGGGCGUAAAGCGUCCGCAGGUGGCUAAUCAAGUCUGCGGUCAAAGACCGGGGCUUAACCCUGGAAAGGCCGUGGAAACUGAUAAAGCUAGAGUACCGUAGGGGUAGAGGGAAUUCCCGGUGUAGCGGUGAAAUGCGUAGAGAUCGGGAAGAACAUCGGUGCGAAAGCGCUCUACUGGACGGUGACUGACACUCAGGGACGAAAGCUAGGGGAGCGAAUGGGAUUAGAUACCCUAGUAGUCC